Molecule: long non-coding RNA, 4667 nt
Filed under: Sus scrofa (pig)
Lineage: Eukaryota; Metazoa; Chordata; Mammalia; Artiodactyla; Suidae
Description: lncRNA (ENSSSCG00065025906.1)
Source: RNAcentral
UUAUAUAUUCUUACUUUCCUUCCCCACUUUUUAUGAUUUUGAUUACUUUUUAACAUCUUCAUAUUUAGAUAUGUGUGCUGGCUUCUUUAAGUGAUUGCUUUCCUUUUUUUUAUUUAAAAAAAGCCCUUUCAGUAUUUCUUUUAGAAUGCAUUUAGUAUUGCCAUAAUCUUUUAGCUUUUGUUGGAGAAAUUCUUUAUUUCCUAUUCUAUUUUAGAUUAUAUUCUUGCUGGAUAGAGUAUUUUAGAUUGCAAUUUUUUUUUUCCUUUCAGCAUUCUAUAUAUAUCUUGUCACUCCCUUCUAGCCUGCAGUGUUUCUGUGUGAAAUCAGCUGAUAGAUUUAUGGAGAUUCCCUUAUGAUUAACAUUUUGCUUUUCUCUUGUUGCCUUAGAAUCCUCUGUUUAACUUUUUCCAUUUUUAUUAUAAUAUGUCUUGGUGUGGGCCUGUUUGGGUUCAGCUUGUUUGGGGCCCUCUGUGCUUCCUGUAUCUUGAAAUCAAUAUCCUUUAGAUGUAGAAAGUUUCCAGCAAUCAUUUCUUCAAAUAUAUUUUCCAAUGCCUUUUCUUUUUCUUCUCCUUCUGGAAUUCCCAUUAUGCAUAGAUUGGCCUGCUUUAUAUUAUCCCAUAGGUCUCUUAUAUUGCUUUCCUGUUUUUUUCAUUUGGUUUUCUGUCUGCUGCCCUGAUUGUUUGAUUUCCAUUAUUCUAUCUUCCCUUGUCACUAAUUCGUUCCUCUGCAUUAUUCAUUCUGCUCUUUAUUGCCUUAAGCUCAGUUUGCAUCACUGAAAAUGAUUUUUUUAGCUUUUCUUGGCUCCUUGUUAUUUUUUCUAGCUCCUUUCUGAGGGAAUCUGCAUUACUGUUCAUAUCCUCUCUGAAUUCCUUCAGUAUUUUCACUAUCUGCCUUUUGAACUCAAUGUCUGUCGGACUGUAGAGGUCUGUUUCAUUGUUGAAUGCUUUAGGUGAAUUCUCCUAUUCCUUUACCUGGUAAUGGUUUCUGAGCUUCUUUAUCUUGCUUGUGUUUUUCUUUAUCUGUGAGUUUGGCAAAGCCAAACUGUAGUCUUGUAAGGCUAUUUUUAUGCAAGAAUAACUCUUUGUAUUUUUGAGGGGAUACUAUUUAUUUUUGGUGUGGGAAUUUGAAUAUUUGCUGGUUUGUUUCUUUGGUGUGAGCCAGCUAUCAUUUCCAGGAUGCUCAGUUUGUUUUCAGUGAGAAGCAGGUAGUGGGUAGGACCAGCAGUCAGUGCCUGGUCAUUGGGCUCUCAACAGAAAGACCUGCAGGAAGGUGUCACAGGAUACUCCUAGCUGCAGGGCCCUGGGAAGUGGUAAUGAGCUCUAGGCAGAUCUUCAAUGUGACCAUAGCAUUUGGCAGUAGCAACAGCAGGGCCUAUGAAUUCCCAGGGAAGUUAGAGCAGCAACAGCUUUUUUGAAUUGCAUUGCCCUCCUUUGAGGUGAGUGGAAUUUCAGGUGGUGCCUGUUCAGGGACCCCUAGUGGGAGAGGGCCAUGACUGUCUCUAGAUUCAGUGAUAACUGUGGUGGUUUGCCCCUGCCAAGUGUAGGCCAUGCACAAAGCAACCAGUCUCACUUAGCCUGCAUAGGAAUUGCUGCACAGGCUGUUCCUAGUUGCGGGGUCCUUGAAAGUGACAGAGAUUUGGCAUAUGGGUACUGCCCUGACCAUUCAGCAGUGGCAACAGCAGUGCCAAUGUAUUCCUAAGGGUGCAAGAGCACCUACAGGUGGUAUUCAGUCACAGUGCAGUCUUCUAUGAUGCCUUGAAGUGAAUGAGACUGCAAAUGGUGCCUGUUCACCGACCCCUAGUGGUGUCAGGCCACUGCUGCCUCUUCAGCCAGAGAUAACUGCUGUGGUUUGCCCCCACAACCUGUAAAUUAUACAAGGAGCACCUCAUCCUUCUUAGCUCCAAUAGAAUGUGCUAUGCAAGCUGCUCCUGGUUGCAGGUUCCUGGGAAGGGACAGUGAUCACACAUCUUGUCACUGCCCAGCAUGUUUGGCUGUGGCAGCUGCAGGGAGUGUGUGCUCCUGGAGGAGUGAGAGCACCAUCAGGUGGUGUUCCAUCACAAUGACCUUCUCUGAGAUGCCCUCUGAAGUGUUUAGGGUUGAAGGUGAUAUUUGUUUGGAUAUCCCCAGCAGCUGUGAGCCAAGACCACCUCCAGAGUCAGGGAUAACUGUGGUGGUUUGCUCCCACCACCUGCAGGUCCAGUCUGCCAUGGGCUAGCAAGUGGCUUCUGGAUGCAGGGGGCUGUGCCUGAGAUUCCCAGUCUGGGGCAGGCCAGAGAGUGGCUUCCCAUGGCCCAAGAGGCCUGGGCCGUGGUGAAUGGCAAGUGGUUUCUGGCUACUGAGCUGGCUGCACCAGGGACACUCCACACCCCAAGAGCCCAUGGGUGUGUGCACACUAGGGCACAAGGAGUUUCCUAUGGUGGCCUGCCCCUCCUACUCUUGUCCUCCCCAACAAUGGCACUUUGCCUCUCCUGUGGUUCUAGAACUUUUCCCUGGUUCCCUCUGCUGUUGUUUUCCACUACCCAGCCCUUAGUGUACCACUACCCCCACCUGCUAUGCACUGUUCCGUAGCCUCUUAGGCUGUCUCCACACCACCAUCCCCAGCCUGAUCCUGGGGGCUGACCUCUGGAGCCUAAGUCUCAGCACCCAGCCCCCACCCGAGCAUCUCAGGCUGUGGUGUCUGCACCAGUGGUUCAGAUGAUCUGUGCACCUCUAACUCUGCUUUUCUGUUCUCAGACAUGCUGUGCUUUUCUUGGUGUCUUUGAGGUCCCUCCCACUUGGCUGAACUUUCCAUCAGUUAGGUGGCUUCCCAGGGUGUGGGUUCCUAUUCUCCUUCACAGCUCCCUUUUGGGAAUGCUAGUCCCAUCCUGAUAACUUUUCUCUCUCCCUCUUUUUUUCUUUUAUUCUACCCAGUUACACCAAGGGUUUCUAGCUCUUUUUGGAGGGUUAAGUUAUUCUGCCAGCUUUCAGUUUAUGUUCUUUGUGAGUCAUUUUACAUGUAGAUGUGGUUUUUAGUGAUGUGUUUGUGGGAGAGGCUGAGCAUAACCUCUUAUUCUCCAUGAUCUUGCCUGCACCCACAUGUAUGUUUAUUUGUAUAUUUUUAAUUAUGUUAUCUUUUACCUACUAAGAAAUAAAAAGAAGGUAAUGGGAAAUAAAGGAAAAUAGAAUAAAAUAUAAAGUGAGCCUAACUAUAUUUUCAGUUAAUGCCAUAAUCAGACUAAAGGGGAAAAUAAACAGUUGUUAUUAUUUAAAUACCAAAUUUUGUCUAUAAACUCCUCUAACAAUAAUUAAAAUACAGUAAGCAUAUUUUUUUGGUAAGCAAUUUUUUUGAGCUGAAAUUAUUUUUUUAUUAACAGUGAUUUCAGUUCAAUAUUCUGAAAUUACAUGUAUUCAAAGAUUUGGUAAAUAAAUAAAUUUUUCCUGGGAAAGAGAAUGACUCCUGAAUGGGGGAAAGUUGUGAUGUACAUGGAAAAAGAGAGGCUAGAAAGAACUCUUUGGUGUCAAACUAGAAUUGAAAAUACCAACUUGAACUCAUGGGUUAUAAUGUGCAGAAACAAAUUCAAAUUAUAUAUCAACAUCUGUGGUUCCCAUCUCCCAUUUUUUCUGUCCCACUCCUGAACCAUUUCUUAGGGGUAACCAUUCCUUUAGUUUGCUUGUUUCUAGUUUCUACAUCCUGUGUUUCUUUUAUAUAUCCUUCCUGGCUGUAUUCUCUGAGAUAACUUUGAAACCUUGUAAGCAACAAACACAUGUAAUUCCAAAUUUGAUUUUUGAAUAUCAAUAUCUUCUAACAGGAACCAAAGUGACUUAUAAAAAUGGCUGAUUCUAGGCCUGGGGCCAGGACAAGACAAGACCAGGGAAAUUUGCUAAGCUUGAAAAUUAAAAGUGCUCACUCAAUCAAGGGGACACAUAAGCCAGCUGGAAGGUCUCACAUUGGCCAAAGCUGGGAUAAUUAGAGCUUCAAAAUGAAUAACAUCAGUAAUAAUUUAUAACUCAGAGAAUAAAUAAGAAGUCAUGAGUCCAUGAUGAUAUAAAUUAAUCAGUGAAAAAAAAAUGAAUGAAUCCAAUCAACAUAGAGGAAAUAACCAAAUUAGAAAAUCAUCAUUUGGGAGAUGGGAUUAAGAUGGCAGAACAGAAGGACUGGAGCUCAACUUCUCUCCUAAAAACAACAAAAUUCACAACUAAAGACUGAGCACACUUCACCAAAAUGGACGGGAAAACUUAAAAAAGAUACCCUACUCCAGAAGAAAAACAGGCCACAUCAAGAGGUAGGAGGGGCAAUUUCAUGAUAUAAACAACCCCAUUCCUCCUGGGUGGGAAGCCCCACAGACUGGAAACUAACUGGUUCACAGAGAUUCACCUACAGGAGUGAGAGUUCUGAGCCACACAUCAAACUCUCACAUGUGGGGAUCUGGCACUGGGAGAAAGAGCUCCUGGAGCAUCUGGUGUUGAAGGCCAGUGGGGCUUGUGCACAGGAGCUCCAUGGGACUGGGGGAAACAGAGACCCCAUUCUUAAAAGGUGCACACAGAUGUUCACAUGCACUGGGUCCUAGGGCAAAGCCAAGUCUCCAAGGGAAUCUGGGUCAAACCUGACCGCAGUUCUUGGAGGACAGCCUGGGAAAACAGGGGUGAAUGUGGCUUAUUGUGAGGGAAGGACAUUGAAAGCAAAGCUCU